UACGUAGGAAGCAAGCGUUGUCCGGAAUCACUGGGCGUAAAGCGCGUGUAGGCGGAUGGGCAAGUCUGCUGUGAAAGCGCCUGGCUUAACCGGGCGAGGUCGGUGGAAACUGCUCGUCUUGAGGUCGGUAGAGGCAGAUGGAAUUCCCGGUGUAGUGGUGAAAUGCGUAGAGAUUAGGAAGAACACCAGUGGCGAAGGCGGUCAACUGGUCCAUUACUGACACUAAAGCACGAAAGCGUGGGUAGCGAACAGG
RNAcentral lists this ribosomal RNA (253 nucleotides) under uncultured bacterium. RNAcentral describes it as "partial 16S ribosomal RNA". It matches the Rfam family "Bacterial small subunit ribosomal RNA", at positions 524 to 776 of the family's 1533-position model. The record is from RNAcentral.